RNAcentral lists this long non-coding RNA (18357 nucleotides) under Triticum aestivum (bread wheat). RNAcentral describes it as "long non-coding RNA (TAES_LNC020603)". Lineage: Eukaryota; Viridiplantae; Streptophyta; Magnoliopsida; Poales; Poaceae. The record is from RNAcentral.
GCCGGGUAGUUGUGGCUGCUGGGAAUUGUUGAUGCCAGUGGUACGUCCUAGUUUUCCUUCUCUAUGGUGAUGUCUAGGUAAGACUUAGGGAUUUGGGGCAGCAGCUCAUAGAUUGGAGUUAGAUUUUAGAACUAGAGAUGGAUUCCUGAAACACUUUGCAAAUUCGUUGGUGAGCCCAGUGCUUAUACUUAUUUGGUUUUGCUUCCAGGUCAGACCUCCUCUAUGUUAGUUCCUUUGCUUAGCCAAAUAAGUUAUGGAAGAUAGCCCAUCCAUGAUGUUGUGAGAUGUGAACUGCCUUCUAGCAGAAAAACGAGAGUGUUGGGCAUCUUUGACUGUAAACUGAAUCUGGUUCACUUAAAACCGCACUGACAAAUCUGGACAGCCAGCUUCUAGGUGGAAAUCGAGUUAGUUAUGCUCACAAUUUCGAGUAGGCCUCUACAUAUGAGUUGUAAAGCAUGUUCCAAGGUUUCCGUGGAGUACUUACUUGCUUCAUUUGGAUGUACGGUUUGAGAGCAGUCGUCUAUUUGGUUACUGUCCAGAAACACAGUUUCAUGGGUACAAUAUUUUCAUAUGGAAGAUUAGGCCCUGUUGGAGGUGGACUUAAAAUAAAGUUACAACAUGAAAUUUGUAGAGAAUAUUCUGCAGAUUCUUAAACAUAUAUUAUUUGUUAGAUUCCGUGUUAUACACUAAAUCCUAUGAAAUUAUUAAAAUGAUUGUACCAUGUCGGACAAAAUUUUAUGUUUGGACUUGGGUGAAUGUAAAUAGACUUAUACUCUCAGAUUUUAUCGUCGUUGAUGAUGUGAGGAGUUAUAAUGUGAUAAAGUAUAUAUGAUCUGGGGUCUUGUGUGUAGGAGCGAUGCAAAAUUAUAUAUGCUUAUGUAAUCAGACCAUGCUUUACUGUGGCUGUGAUAUAUGCUUCAUGACAAGUGGGGGUACUUCGGAUUCGGAACUGUUUGCCUCACAAUUUGUGCCCCGCGGUUGAGGCAAGUUCAUGAUGGGAUAAUGACUUGCAUAAUCCCUACACUCUAUUUUAUUUAUGAUAUUUGUCCAUGUUAAUGAUGUUUAUUGUGAUGGAGGUGACGAUGACAAAGACAUGUUGAUUCAAGUACUUUGCUUGCAUUUGCAUAUUUGCAUUCAUGAUGAUAGAGAAAGAAAGAGUACCCUACCUUGGGUAGGCACAUUGAGACCUCCAUUGUUGGGUUGUGUCCUACUUUGGAGGAAACCUCCACGCGCUGGAGUGAGUGGAAGUCGACGGGCGUCCACUCAAGCAAUACCGGUAUACGCAAUGAAAUGAGAUGAGCAUGUAGGCAUGUAGGACACCAAUACAUGCGUUCAGUGUUGUUGAGUGUAUGGUGUUAACAUAGAUUUAGUUCUUUCUUAUGAGUAUUGUUUAUUAUUCCUUUAUGAACCUGUUGAGUCCUUGUACUCACCCUUGUUGCUUACAUGUUUUUAGGUAAACCAUGAAGACACCAUACAUGAGAGUCGUGGGGUAGCAGUAUCACCAUCUUCACUACACGAAUAUCUCAUAUGUUAACUUCUAGCACCGUGCUUUGAGACCUUGUAUGGCUUAUACCUUACUUCACAUGGUGGAUUGUCUUGGAAUUCUAGAUUUACACUUUCGCUCUGUAUGGCUUAACUAAUUUCCACUAAGACUUACAUGAUCGCCUAGAGUUUCAAAGUGGCACCUGGUUAAUGUUGGUAUUGUAGCUUUGCGCUUUAUGCUUGUGUUUGGUUCCUUUUCAUACAUAAUCAUAUGAUCUAUGUGUCAUGGAUGUCCUUAGAUACACAGAAAGCUUUGUCGAAAUUUCCUUUUAGGGCAUGUUUCCUAUCCAAGGUCUUAUGUGGUAAUAUUCCAAGCGCCUUGUCAGCUUGGGGUGUUACAGUUGGUAUCAGAGCAGGCUUUAGGUCCUAGUGUAUCUAUAUAGGAUAAUUGCAUAACUUAGUUAUGAAUUUAGGAUUGAUUAAAAAAUUUACUAUAGGAUGAACAACAUUAGAACUGACACACUGGUGCACAAUAGGAUGGAUUGGGCCAUGCAUUGCAUUAUGCUUAAGUUAAUGUUUUUCUUUAAUUUUGGGAUACUUAUGUCGGCAUAUGAUCAUGACUUUUGCGUUGAUGAUUGACUAUGCUACUUAUAGCUAUGUGCUAUCUCUUGAGCUUGGGUUGGUUUUUCCCUUGAAGACGAAAGGGCGAGGCAGCAAAGUAGUGUAAGUAUUUCCCUUAGUUUUGAGAACUAAGGUAUCAAUCCAGUAGAAGACAACGCGACAAGCCACCAAAUACCAGCACAAACAAACACCAACUUGCAACCAACACGACAAAGGGGUUUUCAAUCCCUUCACGGUUAUUCGCAAAGUGAGAUCUGAUAGAGAUGGAUAAACGGUAAAGUAAUAUUUUUGGUAUUUUUAGUUUGUGGAACGGAAAGUAAAGAUUGCAAAAGAAAGUAAAUAGGAAACUAGAAUUGUAGAUUGGAAACUUAUAUGAUGGAAAAUAGACCCGGGGGCCAUAGGUUUCACUAGAGGCUUCUCUCAAGAAAGGAAUUAUUACGGCCGGUGAACAAAUUACAGCCGAGCAGUUGAUAGAAAAGCGCAAAGUUCUGACGAUAUCUAAGGCAAUGAUGAUGAAUAUAGGCAUCACGUCCGUGUCAAGUAGACCGAAACGAUUCUGCAUCUACUACUAUUACUCCACACAUCGACCGACUCCUGCCUGCAUCUAGAGUAUUAAGUUCAUAAGAAUAGAGUAACGCAUUAAGUAAGAUGACAUGAUGUAGCGGGAUUAACUCAAGCAAUAUGAUGAAAAUACCAUCUUGUUAUCCUCAAUGACAACAAUACUAUACGUGCCUUGCUACCCCUACUGUCACUACGAAAGGACACCGCAAGAUUGAACCCAAAGCUAAGCACUUCUCCCAUCGCAAGGAAAACCAAUCUAGUUGGCCAAACCAAAUCGAUAGUUCGAAGAGACUUUCAAAGAUAUCAAAUCAUGCAUAAAAGAUUUCAGAGGACAUUCAAAUAAUAUUCAAAGAUAAGCUGAUCAUAAAUUCAGAAUUCAUCGGAUCACGGCAAACACGCCGCAAAAGACUAUUACAUAGAAUAGAUCUCCAAGAAUAUUGAGGAGAACAUGGUAUUGAGAAUCAAAGAGAGAGAAAAAGCCAUCUAGCUACUAGCUAUGGACCCGUAGGUCUAUGGUAAACUACUCAUGCUUCAUCGGAGAGGUAAUGGUGUUGAUGUAGAAGCCCUCCGUGACCAAAUCCCCUUCUGGCAGGAUGGGGGAAAAGGCCCCAAAAUUGGAUCUCACGGGUACAGAAGGUCGCGGCAAUGGAAAAAUGGUUUUGUGGCUCUCCUGGAAGUUUUCAGGGUAUAAGAGUAUACAUAGGAGGAAGAUCUAGGUCAGAAGGCCACCGAGGGACCCACAAGGUUGGGGUGCGCGCCCCAACCCCUAGGUGCGCGCUCCACCCUUGUGGCCGCCUCGUGGCUCUUCCGACUUGCACUCAAAGUCUCUUGGGUGUCUUCUGGUCCAAGAAAGAUCAUUGCGAAGCUUUUAUUCCGUUUGGACUCCGUCUAGUAUUCCUUUUACGCGAAACUCUAAAAUAAGGAAAAAACAGAAACUGGCACUAGCAAUGGCCUCUAGGUUAAUAGGUUAGUCCCAAAAAUCAUAUAAAAUAGCAUGUUAAUGCAUAUAAAACAUCCAAAACAGAUAAUAUAAUAGCACGGAACAAUCAAAAAUUAUAGAUACGUUGGAGAUGUAUCCAGCAUCCCCAAGCUUAAUUCCCGCUCGUCCUCGAGUAGGUAAAUGAUAAAAACACAUUUUUUGAUGUGGAAUGCUACCUAACAUAUUUAUCGAUGUAAUUCUAUUUAUUGUGGCAUGAAUGUUCAGAUCUGUAAGAUUCAAAACAAAAGUUUAAUAUUGACAAAAAAAUAAUACUUCAAGCAUACUAACAAAUAAUUAUGUCUUCUCGAAAUAACAUGGCCAAAGAAAGCUUAUCCCUACAAAAUCAUUGAUGACCCACAAGUAUAGGGGAUCUAUCGUAAUCCUUUCGAUAAGUAAGAGUGUCGAACCCAACGAGGAGCAGAAGGACAUGAUAAGUGGUUUCCAGCAAGGUAUUCUCUGCAAGUACUGAAAUAAGUGGUAACAAAUAGUUUUGUGAUAGGAUAAUUUGUAACGAGCAACAAGUAACAAAAGUAAAUAAAGUGCAGCAAGGUGGCCCAAUCCUUUUGUAGCAAAGGACAAGCCUAGACAAACUCUAAUAUGAUGUAAAGCGCUCCCGAGGACACAUGGGAAUAUCGUCAAGCUAGUUUUCAUCACGCUCAUAUGAUUCGCGUCCGGUACUUUGAUAAUUUGGUAUGUGGGUGGACCGGUGCUUGGGUGCUGCCCUUACUUGGAAAAACAUACCACUUAUGAUUAACCUCUAUUGCAAGCAUCCGCAAAUACAACAAAAGUAUUAAGGUAAACCCGCCUUCUGUGCUAGAGAUAAGCCAAACCUAUGUGCUAAUGCUUCCGCUGUUAGGACAUCAGCGCAACAAUCAAUCUUCCAAUUUCCACCUACAAUAAAGUUUCCUUUGUCAUCCCUGAGGACAGCCCCCGCUGUGCCCUUUAGUAGAUCGUGAUUGAAGGCAGCAUCCACAUUCAAUUUAACGACGCCCCUAGGAGGUCAACUCCACCCUCCAAUCUUCCUAUUAGCAUUAGGGGAAUGGGCAUUUACAAAAUUUGUCGUCAUAGCACGAAUUCCCAUCGAGGUUCGACAUACCUCUUGAGACUUUCCCCCGUGAACCAGUUUACGUCUAUUCCACCAUAAAUACCACGCGGUUACAGCAAUCAGCUCUCGUGCGUUCCGUGAAUCCGACAAAGAAAACUCUUGUUGUGGUAUGAGGAAUAAUGAUUCAAGGACUGCCUCCCCUGCAUGAUCAACCGCACAAGCUUUUUUAACCGCUCCAUACAUCCCCAAAUUUUCCCACACUUCUUUUGCCUUCUGACACAGGAACAACACAUGCUUUGUAUCCUCUAGCCCAUUUCAACAUGAUGGGCAAUUGGGCAAAAAAUUUAUGUGUCUAUUGGCUAGGGUAAUAUGACACGGUAGUGUCCCAUGCAAUGUGUGCCAGAUAAAAAAAUCAGCUUCGCCGGACAAGCUAAUUUCCAAAUCUUGCCCCAAAUAGGAUUGACCCUACUUCUACCCAUUCCAUUUGUGUAUUCUAGUUUCUUUCCAUGUUGUUUAUUCCACUCCUCCAGAUAAGCAGAUAGUAUAGUGAACAAACCGUUUUUAGUAUAGCUCCAAGCAAUGAAGUCCUGCAUAUUAUUCAUAGGGAGAGGGAUCGCCAGGACUCUUCAAGCAUCAAUUGGCCAUAGUGUUUGUCUCACCAAAUCUUCAUCCCAACCAUUUGUGGUUGGGUCAAUAAGAUUAGACACUUUCGUCAGAAAUAUCCCUCGUCUAGGAGUAAUAAUUCUCCUAUUCGCACAAUUUGGGAUCCAAGCGUCUGUCCAAAUAUUAAUUUUUUUCUUGGUUCCAACUCUCUAUAUAUAACCAUUUCUGAGAGAGUCAACUCCCGCCGUAAUACUUUUCCAAGUAAAGGAGGAACCCUUUUUAAAUUUUGCGCUCAUCAGAUCACCCUCUGGGUAAUACUUGGCUCUUAGGAUUGUGGCACAUAACGAAUCAGGAUUAUGUAGGAGACGCCACACUUGUUUAGCUAACAAUGCGAGAUUAAAGCAGUGUAUAUCACGAAAUCCCAUCCCUCCUUGAUCUUUGGGAACACAUAUCUUCCACCAUGCCAUCCAAUGCAUCCUUUUAUGGUUGUCGUCGUCGCCCCACCAAAAUUGCGACAUCACGUCAAUGAUUUCUUUACAAUUUUUUCAGGAAUUUUAAAGACGGGCAUGGCAUAAGUUGGGAUAGCUUGAACAACAGAUUUUAGCAAAAUUUCCUUUCCACCGCAGACAACAGUUUUUCUUUCCAUCCACUAAUCUUCAUAAUAAUUUGGUCAAUCAGGAACUGAAAGCAAUCACUUUUGUCCAUCCCCACAUGGGCUGGUAGACCCAAAUAUUUGUCAUUGAGUGCCUCAGUCAUAAUAUUCAGAGUAGUACAAAUUUGCACCUUUUCUUCCACUUUUGUUUUGGGGCUGAAAAAUAUGCUAGACUUUUCAACACUCACCAUUUGACCCUAGGCGACACAAUAAGAUGCAGAACUUCUCUCAAAGCCUUCGCAUUUGUAUCAUUAGCUUGCAUGAGGAUCAAUGAAUCAUCCGCAAAGAGUAAGUUGGAAAUAAAAGGGGCAUCUCUGCUAACUUUUAUGCCGAAAAUACUAGUUGUUUCUUCUGUGUUUGCUAAAAGAGCAGUGAGGCCCUCUGUGCACAACAAAAACAAAUAGGGAGAGAGUGGAUCCCCUUGCCUUAGUCCUCUAGUAGGUUUGAAACUAUCAGUAUCAUCGGCAUUAAACCGUACUCUAUAUUCCACUGAGGAUACACACUGCAUGAUUAAGUUCACCCAAUUCUCUUUAAAACCCAAUUUCAAUAGAACUCCUCUUAAAAAUUAAAAAAAAGACCAUUUCACUCGGUCAUAAGCUUUAUGCAUGUCUAGUUUAAUGGCACACAACCCUUCUUUACCUGCCCUUUUCAUUCUUAUUUUAUGAAAACGCUCAUAUGCUAGUAAAAUAUUAUCUAUGAUCAAUCUCCCAGGAACAAAAGCACUUUGAGUUGGGCUGAUAAUAUCUGAAAGAAUUACCUUUAAUCGUGCAGCAAUCAUUUUUGAAAUAACCUUAUACACCACAUUGCACAAACUGAUUAGUCUAAAUUGAAUAAUCUUUUCUGGAGAAUUAACCUUUGGGAUCAUGACAAUUGUAGUGUAAUUCCAUCCUGCCGGUAUAGAACAUGUAUUCAACGCCUUGAGGACUUCUUCUGUCAGAUAUUCUCCCAACAUCUGCGCAAAAAAAGAUCUUCUCCCAACAUAGACCAAAAUCUCUUAUAAAAGAUAGCAUGCAGACCAUCCGGACCCGGUGCUUUUAAAUCACCAAUAUCAAAUAAGGCCUUCCGAACUUCCUCCGCUGUGUAUGGAGCCGUAAGACCAGUAUUCAUUUCAUUCGUGACUUUCCUUUCUACAAGAGAUAGAACCUCCGGGUUUGGGUGAGAGACUUCUGACAUAAAUAGAUUUGAAAAAUACCCUCUAAUGCAAUCCUUCAUCUCCGACUCUUCCACCCACGCCCCAUUAUCUCCAAGCAAUAUUUUUAUCUGAUUUCUUUUCUUUCUGGAUGUUGCCGCAUUGUGGAAAAAAGAGCUGUUCCGGUCCCCGUGUAAUAGACAAUUUGCACGACCACGCUGAAUCCAGUAAAUCAGCUCUUGUUCCAACAAAUUUUCAAUAAGAAAAAUAAUCUCCUUUUGUCGUGCUUGGGAAUCCACAUUCAUAGGUCCCCUACGUAGCUUUUUCAAUUCUAUUUUAAGUUUACCUAUUCUCUUUUUCGGUCCGUUCAGAGUCUCGUGAUCCCAAUUCUGCAAAUCUGCAUGUACCACUCAUGUACGAUCAGCGAGCGUAGGCCCAAUGCCCAUUUUCUUUGCCUUUUCCCAUGUUGUACGCACAAUCUCAACGGGUGUCUCCUCUCUAAGCCAUCUAGCUUCAAAUUGUUUCACUCGUCCCCUUGGAGGUUUAGAAAUAUUGGCGUCAAAGUAUUCAGCAUCCAAGAUGAUGGGACGAUGAUCGGAAUGAACAUGUUCCUCAUUUAUAACCGCAGCUCGGGGGAAUACAUUCGCCCAUUCCACAUUGCAAACCGCCAUGUCAAGUCUCUCUCUAGUGUCGCCUGUCCUCCAAGUGAAAGGAUCACUAAUACAUCCCAUAUCGUCGAGGCCGCACUCUCCUAAACAAUUACGGAAAUAUCUCAUCAUUGCAUUCGGUUUCGCAUUGCCACCUUCUUUUUCCGACGAGAGUAAAAUUUCAUUAAAAUCUCCUAAAACCACCCACGGGUGCUUGCCCUUACUAUGUAGGUUUCAGAGCUUAUCCCAGGAUAAACUACGCUCACUCCAAACCGGAUGACCAUAAAAGCCCGUGAACCACCAAUGCACGGAAUCAUCAUUUAGAAAAAAGAAUAUCAAUAAAAUUAGGCGACUCAUAGUUCGAAACCACUUUAUUCAUCUUAUGAUAGAACAAAACUAGGCCACGGGCCCGACCAUCACUCCCCACUACAAUAAUUGAAUCAAAAGAUAAAGAAUGACAUAGCUCAUCGGCUUUACAUUUAUUGAAGUGCGACUUAGAGAGAAAAAUCAAAUCCGCCAUGAUACUCCCUGAUACGUCUCCAACGUAUCUAUAAUUUUUUAUUGUUCCAUGCUAUUAUAUUAUCAACCUUGGAUGUUUCAUAUGCAUUUAUAUGCUAUUUUAUCUGAUUUUUUGGGACUAACCUAUUAAGCUAGAGCGAGUGCCAGUUUCUAUUUUUUCCUUGUUUUUGAGUAUCACAGAAAAGGAAAACCAAACGGAGUCCAAUUGACCUGAAACUUCACAGAACUUAUUUUUGGACCAGAAGAAGGCCAUGGAGUAAAAGAGUUGGGCCAGAAGAGUUUCGGGCUGCCCACGAGGGUGGGGGCGCGCCCACCCCCUGGGCGUGCCUCCCUACCUCGUGGAUAGCCCGAAGACCCCCCCUGACUUGUUCUUCACGCAAAACCUCUUAUAUGUACUAAAACCUCCAGAACAUAACCUAGAUCGGGAGUUCCGCCGCCAGAAGCCUCCGUAGCCACCGAAAACCAAUCUAGACCCGUUUCGGCAUCCUGCCGGAGGGGGGAAUCCCUCUCCAGUGGCCAUCUUAAUCAUCCCGGCACUCUCCAUGACGAGGAGGGAGUAGUUCACCCUGGGGGCUGAGGGUAUGUACCAGUAGCUAUGUGUUUGAUCCCUCUCUCUCAUGUUCUUGAUUCGGAACAAUCUUGUUGUAUCGCGAGAUUUUCUAUUAUAGUUGGAUCUUAUGAUGUUUCUCCCCCUCUACUCUCUUGUGAUAAAUUGAGUUUUCCCUUUGAAGUUAUCUUAUCGAAUUGAGUCUUGAAGGAUUUGAGAACACUUGAUGUAUGUCUUGCAUGUGCUUCUCUGUGGUGACAAUGGGAUAUCACGUGAUUCACUUGAUGUAUGUUUUGGUGAUCAACUUGCGAGUUCCAUGACCUCGUGAACUUAUGCAUAGGGGUUGGCACACAUUUUCGUCUUGACUCUCUGGUAGAAAAUUUAGGGCACUCUUUGAAGUUCUUUGUGUUGGUUGAAUAGAUGAAUCUGAGAUUGUGUGAUGGAUAUCGUAUAAUCAUAUCCAUGGAUACUUGAGGUGACAUUGUAGUAUCUAGGUGACAUUAGGGUUUUGGUUGAUUUGUGUCUUAAGGUGUUAUUCUAAUACGAACUCUAGGAUAGAUUGAAUGGAAAGAAUAGCUUCGUGUUAUUUUACUACGGACUCUUGAAUAGAUUGAUCAGAAAGAAUAACUUUGAGGUGGUUUCAUACCCUACAAUAAUCUCUUCGUUUGUUCUCUGCUAUUAGUGACUUUGGAGUGACUCUUUGUUGCAUGUUGAGGGAUACUUAUAUGAUCCAACUAUGUUAUUAUUGUUGAGAUAACUUGCACUAGUGAAAGUAUGAACCCUAGGCCUUGUUUCAACGCAUUGCAAUACCGUUUUCGCUCACUUUUAUCAUUAGUUACCUUGUUGUUUUUAUAUUUUCAGAUUACAAAAACCUAUAUCUACCAUCCAUAUUGCACUUGUUGUUGGAAAUAUGCCCUAGAGGCAAUAAUAAAAUGGUUAUUAUUGUAUUUCCUUGUUCAUGAUAAUUGUCUAUUGUUCAUGCUAUAAUUGUAUUAACCGGAAACAGUAAUACAUGUGUGAAUACAUAGACCACAACAUGUCCCUAGUAAGCCUCUAGUUGACUAGCUCGUUGAUCAAUAGAUGGUCAUGGUUUCCUGACCAUGGACAUUGGAUGUCAUGUAUAACGAGAUCACAUCAUUAGGAUAAUGAUGUGAUGGACAAGACCCAAUCCUAAGCCUAGCACAAGAUCGUAUAGUUCGUCUGCUAAAGCUUUUCUAAUGUCAAGUAUCAUUUCCUUAGACCAUGAUAUUGUGCAACUCCCGGAUACCGUAGGAAUGCUUUGGGUGUACCAAACGCCACAAUGUAACCAGGUGGCUAUAAAGGUGCACUACGGGUAUCUCCGAAAGUGUUAGUUGGGUUGGCACAAAUCGAGACUGGGAUUUGUCACUCCGCGUAAAAGGAGAGGUAUCUUUGGGCCCACUAGGUAGGACAUCAUCAUAAUGUGCACAAUGUGACCAAGGAGUUGAUCAUGGGAUGAUGUGUUACGGAACGAGUAAAGAGACUUGCCGGUAACGAGAUUGAACAAGGUAUCGGGAUACCGACGAUCGAAUCUUGGGCAAGUACUAUACCGGUAGACAAAGGGAAUUGUAUACGGGAUUGACUGAAUCCUUGACAUCAUGGUUCAUCCGAUGAGAUCAUCGUGGAACAUGUGGGAGCCAACAUGGGUAUCCAGAUCCCGCUGUUGGUUAUUGACCAGAGAGAUGUCUCGGUCAUGUCUGCAUUAUUCCCGAGCCCGUAGGGUCUACACACUUAAGGUUCGAUGACUCUAGGGUUAUAGGGAAAGUAUGUACGCGGUUACUGAAUGUUGUUUGGAGUCCCGGAUGAUAUCCCGGACGUCACGAGGAGUUCCAGAAUGGUCCGGAGGUGAAGAUUGAUAUAUUGGACGAAGGGUUUUGGAGUCCGGAAGUGUUCCGGAGGUACCGGGUGAUGACCAGCAUGACCGAAAGGUGUUUCGGGAGCCCCGACAAGUGUUGGGGGGCUUCAUGGGCCAAGGCAAGGGGGCAAACCAGCCCACUAAGGGGCUGUGCGCCCCCCUCACCUAUUCCCACGUGACCAGGGGGUUUGGGGCGCCCCAUCUAGGGUUCCCACCUCCUGGCUUGGGGGCCAAGUCACCGAAGGGGGAGAUCCCAUCUGCCCUGGCCGCCGCCCCCCCUCCCUAGGGGAAACCCUAGGGCACCUCCCCUUGCCCUUGCCCCUAUAUAUAGUGGAGGUUUUGGGGCUGCAUAACACACUAGUCUCUCUCUCCCAAGGCGCAACCCUACCUCUCUCCCUCCUCGUCUCUCGUAGUGCUUGGCGAAGCCCUGCUGGAGUACCGCGCUCCUCCACCACCACCACGUCAUCGUGAUGUUGCUGAACGGAGUCUUCCCCAACCUCUCCCUCUCUCCUUGCUGGAUCAAGGCAUGGGAGACGUCACCGGGCUGCACGUGUGUUGAACACGGAGGCGCCGUUGUUCGGCGCUUAGUUCGGAAUAGACCGCGAUAUGAAUCGCUACGAGUACGACUACCUCAUCCGUGUUCUAGUAAUGCUUCCGCUUAGAGAUCUACAAGGGUAUGUAGAUGCACUCCCCUUCCCCUCGUUGCUAGAUUACUCCAUAGAUUGAUCUUGGCGAUGCGUAGAAAAUUUUAAAUUUCUGCUACGACCCCCAACAUGUAUGACUUAUUUUAUUUGUAGAGUUGUGUUGUGAUAUCUUCCCGCGAGUCCCUGAUCUCGAUCGUACACGUUUGCGUGUAUGAUUAGUGUACGAUUGAAUCAGGGGCGUCACAAGUUGGUAUUAGAGCCGACUGCCUGUAGGAAUCCCCCUUCCACACUCCUUGGCCGAAGUCGAGUCUAGACAUUGCAAAACUUUUACUAACAUGGCAGUGUGUCUUAUGGGCUCAUGUCACCAUUGGGUGUUAUUAGGAUCUUUUACUCCUCGAUCUUUACUCCGGGAUUCUGAUCUCUCUUCUAUUCGGGUUAAAAGAUUUUGCUAACUCUAACUCUAUGUUCUUGUAAAUACUUUCUCUCGGAGAACCCCUCACUCCAGAUGGUCGCCUGUUGCACCAGAAGAUUCCGAAGAUACUCUUUGAUGUUAUCCUGAGAACUUGUGCUCAUUGCAUUUGCAAUUCCCUUCCACCGUCAAUCCCUAUAGAUAACUACAUGCCCUUGCCAUUCUUACAUUAGUCCCUAGUUGCUCUUGUUAUUACAAGAUACCCCGAGAUGCUCAUUGUUGUUCCGAGAAUCCUUGUGCCUACUGCCUUGCAGUUUCUUGUCACCUGAAUACUCCUACAAAUUAAUCCUCACACACACACCAAGGAUUUGUUUCUCCUUAGUUCAUGUGUUUCACCAAAGUCUUCGAAAUACUAUUUGAUCUUUUGAAAAUCCUCAACAGCCUAUUGGUCUUGAAAUUCUUGCUUGCUUGCAUUCUGGUUAAUCCAUAAGUAUAGUAAUCUUAUUGGCAUCCUUUGUCACUAUCAUUUUUGAGUCCAUUCAUUCAAUACGUUGCGAAUGCUCACAAUCAUCAGUCGAAUCCUAGGAUUAUCCUUCCGGCUAAGAUGUCAUUUGGGUAUGAGCUGGUUCAUGACCAAUCAAUGCCUUGAUCGGUUGUGCUUCCAAGUCUAUUGAACUUAUUCAUUUUCGAUCACGAAUUAUUUGCUUAUAAUCCCUUGAUUUGGAAAUCAUAAAUUUCGUUGCUUGUAGCUUUGAAUUAGUCAGUUGUUUCUAUAAUCAUAUCUCUAUGCAUUCUUCUUCCUUUGGUUGAGUACCGAUGCUCACCUCAGAUCCCUUGAGGACCAUCAGAUCCUUUGUUGGAUUUUCUCCAACAGUGUCCUUCAUAUUCCAUAACGUUGCGAGUCUUUCCGCGGAUAUAUGAUGCCUUUGGUAAAUUGUAUCCUCUGCUUCUCAACCAUGCUUUGCUUUCGAGCUGGUGGUAUUUACUAUUGAAGCUUGUGGUAUAUGUUUCCACGACACCCUGACGGGUAGAACCUAUGCUUUCCUUAAUAUGUGUGAAAUCAAAAGUUUUCACGAGUCAUACUCUUCUGGUAUUUUGCUAGAUGAAAUUUCAACACUACAACUUAUUCGAAAGUGAGAGGUGAAUGGAAGGUUAUACAUUGAAGAAGUGGUAGUCGACCUAUCAUUAAAGCUUCUCUUAAAUUAAUUAUUCCCUUGGUAUAAGUUCAUCUUAUAUUUAGGAUCCGACCUUUUGCAAUCGUGGUUUCGACCAUGUUCUCCUUUAAAUACCAUUUUUUGUGCAAGUUUAAGCACUUGUCUUUUGCAGAGCAAUACCCUAGUCGAACCUCUACUUUGAUCUAUCGUCGAGUAUUACCCCCUGGUAUCUCAAGAUUGUCAUGGAACCGCAUACCUUCUUAUGAGCUCUUCAUUAAGUACUACAUUCUGACAGUUUCCAAUUUUUCACGGGCUCUGAGUUAUUAAACUCUCAAAGACACUGAUAACUAUACCGAGUCCGCACUAUGGUUCAACAACUCUUAGUAAUCUUCUUUAUGCAUGAGUGUGUACUCGAUCACACUGUUCCUAGUCUGUUUGGCUAUAUCAUUGUCUUGAUGAUUUUAACCAUGCUACUUGGUCCUUAUUCCAGGGGCACCACUUUCGACGACGAGCUAAGCUUACGGUUUGGAGUCAAAGGAAAGUUAGUGCCACGAUUUGUGGGUCCAUACAGAGUCUUGGAACGUAUGGGUGAAGUUGUUUACAACUUGGAUUUACCUGAAGGUUUGUCAGGAGUUCAUGAUGUGUUUCACGUUUUUGCAAUUGAAGAAGUGACAUGCAGAGAUAGCUGAUAUUCCUCUGAGAGAUACGGUGCCCCUGGAAGCAAUUCAGUUGGAGAGUAACCUAAUUUAUGAGGAGAAACCCGUCAGGAUUCUAGAUUUCACCAACUGAGUCACUUGCAGUAAGGUCAUCAAGUUUUGCAAAGUUUAGUGGAGUCACCAUACCGAGGAGGAAGCCACUUGGGAACAAGAAGAAGACCUCCGAAAGGACCACCCACACCUUUUUGCUAGCCAACCCGACUCUCGACGGCGCUAUUCAUCUUAAGGGGGGUAGGUUUGUAACAUCCCAAAUUUCCAUUUGGAUGUUAUUUAGAUCAAUCAUAUGCACUCAUCAUUUGUGCAUAUUGGAAUUUGCUUUAUUUGAAAUUUUGAUCCAAGGGGUCUUAAACGACUCGAGGACAAAUAGAGAGAGUUGGAGGUUUCCCAAAACUCAUUUCUUUUUGAAUUUUUAAAACUUGGAAAUUUGGAUCAAAUUGAUUUACUCAAAAUUCUUUUCUAAUUAUUUGAAAUAAAUAAAAUAAAGAGAGAAGAUAAAAGGACUUCUUCAAAAACAACAAAGAAAUAUUGGAAAAUUAAAUUUUGAAUAAAAAUAUAUUUUAUUUGAUUUUAUUUGCAAGUUUAUUUAUUUUUAUUAGUACUAAAAAUAUUAUUUUUAUUUUAGGCAUCUAGGUCCAGACAAAUCUUCACCUAAGCCUAUUUAAUUAGGAGGGACUAUGUGAACUUUUCUGCAAUUUUUAAAAAUAUGUUUAUUAUGCUUUUUGUAUUUUUCGUAUCUCUGGAAAAAGGUUUUAAAAAAACUUUUGGACAGAACUGGGCAGAAGCCCAGCCAGCCCAGACGCCGCACCGCCUUCCUCCCGUGCGUGGCCUGGACUCGCCGGAGUCCGCCGGGCCAACGGCGCCGGCCGCCACUUCUCCAAGUCGGAGCACCCGCCACCUAUUUAAUGCAUCGUCCCCGGCCCUCGCUUUCCUCCUCCUCAGCCCGUAGCCGCCCCGCCUCCCAUCGCAGCGCCGAGCCAUCGCCAUCGCCGCACCGAGCCGCGCCACCACUACCGCGCACCGCAGCCGCUCCACCCGCCGCCCGAUCCGCCGCUGGAUCCCCGAGCCGCCGCCGGACUCACCGUCGCCCGAGCCCAGAUCCGCUCGACCCGACCCACCGGUUUUCUCGGUCAGGGAAUAAACCGACCCGGUCCGAUCCGGUUUUUUAGUUUUCGGUUUUUCUUUUAAGACCCGGUUUAUUAUUUUUAGUUUAGUUAUUUAGCAAAUGUUUGUUCGUUAAUGUUCUAUACUUUAAAGAUUCAUCAGAUUAGUGUUCGUAGCGGACGUUCGUCUGAUAGAUUUUUCUUUUUCUGUUUUAUUUUUCGGCCAGGGACCCAUCCAUGAAUAUUUUCUUCAUAGAUUAGCCCCUAAUCUUUAAAUCAUCACAACUUUUUACUCGUUUGUCCAAAUUCAACGAAACCAAUGCCAAAUUCUUCGUUAUGAUUCUAUCUAGAUAACCAACUUAACAAUAUUUUUGGAAGUUCAAAAUAUUAUUUCAAACAGAUUUGAGUUUGAACUUCUUCUGAUCAUAACUUGAGUUUCGUAAUUCUGAUUUGGUUGAUUCUUUUUGCAAAUCGAAGCUCUUGACCUAAACUUUCUGUUAAGAUCUAAUACACAUAACUUAAGUACUGUUAGAAAUUGUUUUCUAUUUGAAAGAGUUAUUUUCUUAUUCUUUUGACCUUUCUGAAUCCUUUUCUUUGGUUUUCUUUGCAUCUUCAUGCUUGAGUGCUUAUGUAUGCUAUUGUUUUUCUAUGAUAGAAAUUGUUAUCUAUUCGCUAGAUGGAUUCUUCUCUCUCUUUGAUCUUCAAUACAAUGUUCUCCUCCAUUUCUUGGAGUUCUAUUCGAUGUAAUCUUCUUUUGCGGUGCGUUUUGUUGAUAUUCGAUGAAUUUUGGAUUUUUAUCAGAUUAUCUAUGAUUAUUAUUUGAGUCUUCUCUCAACUCUUUUAUGCAUGAUUAAAAUAGCUUUGUAUUUCUCUCCAAUCUAUUGAUUUGGUUUGGCCAACUAUAUUGAUCUAUCUUGCAAUGGGAGAGGUGCUUUGUGAUGGGUUCAAUCUUGCAGUGUCCUCACUAGUGGCAGCAGGGGUAGCAAGACACGUAUUUGUAUUGUUGCCAUUAAGGAUGAAAAUAUGGGGGUUUUACCAUAUUUAUUGGAUCUAUCCCUCUACAUCAUGUCAUCUUGGUUAAGGCGUUACUCCAUACUUGUUAACUUAAUAGACUAGAUGCAUGCUGGAUAGCAGUUGAUGUGUGGAGUAGUAGUGGUAGAUGUAGGCAGGAGUCGGUCCACUUGUCACGGACAUGAUGCCUAUAUUCAUGAUCAUUGCCUUAGAUACCAUCAUAACUUUGCGCUUUUCUAUCAAUUACUCAACAGUAAUUUGUUUACCCACCAUAUGCUUUCUUCAAGAGAGAAGCCUCUAGUGAAAAAUAUGGCCCACAGGUGUAAUGCCCCGUUUUCAUUUGCUAUGCAUUUGUUCCUGAAGAAUGUUUAAAUAAAAGAAUAAGACAGAGUUAGUAAUUAUUAAAGUGAUGUAAGAAUAGGAAAAGGAAAAAAGAGACACACACACACGAAGAGAGAGAAAGAGAGAGUGCAUGUGAAAUAAAAUCAGCGUGGCAAAAAGAAAAUAAAAGAGAGGGUGUGUAUGCUAGUGUUUGAACCAUGGUCCUCUAGAUAUAUGAAGAAUUUAGAAACCAAUUUCUCUAGGUGCUACUUCUGGUACUAUACCAGGAAACAUAUUAGUUAGCUCCUCUAAAACAAGAGGAAAGAAAUUCUACAUGGGUCCAAGGCCCGGUCGAGCUCGGCCUGAUGGUCAGUCCCACACUGCGCCGCUAUAACCUGCGCCCAAAUCGCCUUUCUCUUCUUUUCCCCUCACCAAAAUAUUCCUCUCGUCUUAUCCAGUUAAGGCCGCAGCCUUCAGGUCGCUACCACUGCUGUGGGUUGCCAUCCCCAUGAGGUUGCUGUUGUUCCGACGCCUCUACUCGUCGAGGCCGUUGCCGGGCAGUUGUGGCUGCUAGGAAUUGUUGAUGCCAGUGGUACGUCCUAGUUUUCCUUCUCUAUGGUGAUGGCUAGGUAAGACUUAGGGAUUUGGGGCAGCAUCUCAUAGAUUGGAAUUAGAUAUGAGAACUGGAGAUGGAUUCCUGAAACACUUUGCAAAUUCGUUGGUGAGCCCAGUGCUUAUAAUUAUUUGGUUUUGCUUCCAGGUCAGACCUCCUCUAUGUUAGUUCCUUUGCUUAGCCAAAUAAGUUAGGGAAGAUAGCCCAUCCAUGAUGUUGUGAGAUGUGGACUGCCUUCUAGCAGAAAAACUAGAGUGUUGGGCAUCUCUGACUGUAAACUGAAUCUGGUUCAGUUAAAACCGCACUGACAAAUCUAGAUAGCCAGUUUCUAGGUGGAAAUUGAGUUAGUUAUGCUCACAAUUUCGAGUUGGCCUCUACAUAUCAGUUGCAAAGCAUGUUCCAAGGUUUCCGUGGAGUACUUACUUGCUUCAUUUGGAUGUACGGUUUGAGAGCAAUCGUCUAUUUGGUUACUGUCCAGAAACACAGUUUCGUGGGUACAGUAUUUUCAUAUGGAAGAUUAGGCCCUGUUGGAGGUGGAAUUAAAAUAAAGUUACAACAUAAAAUUUGUAGAGGAUAUUCUGCAGAUUCUUAAACAUAUAUUAUUUGUUAGAUUCCGUGUUAUACACUAAAUCCUAUGAAAUUAUUAAAAUGACUGUACUAUGACAGACAAAAUUUUAUGUUUGGACUUGGGUGAAUGUAAAUAGACUUAUACUCUCACAUUUUGUCGCCGUUGAUGAUGUGAGGAGUUAUAAUGUGAUAAAGUAUAUAUGAUCUAGGGUCUUGUGUGUAGGAGCGAUGCAAAAUUAUAUAUGCUUAUGUAAUCAGACCAUGCUUUAUUGUGACUGUGAUAUAUGCUUCAUGAUAGGUGGGGGUAUUUUGGAUUCGAACUGGUUGCCUCACAAUUUGUGCCCCGCGGUUGAGGCAAGUUCAUGAUGGGAUAACGACUUGCAUAAUCCCUACACUCUAUUUUAUUUAUGAUAUUUGUCCAUGUGAAUGAUGUUUAUUGUGAUGGAGGUGACGAUGACAAAGACAUGUUGAUUCAAGUACUUUGCUUGCAUUUGCAUAUUUGCAUUCAUGAUGAUAGAGAAAGAAAGAGUACCCUACCUUGGGUAGGCACAUUGAGCAUCCAUUGUUGGGUUGUGACCAGCUUUGGAGGCAACCUCCACGCGCUGGAGUGAGCGGAUGUCGAUGGGCGUCCACUCAAGCAAUACCGGUAUACGCAAUGAAAUGAGAUGAGCAUGUAGGCAUGUAGGACACCAAUACAUGUGUUCAGUGUUGUUGAGUGUAUGUUGUUAACAUAGAUUUAGUGCUUUCUUAUGAGUAUUGUUUAGUAUUCCUUUAUGAACUUGUUGAGUCCUUGUACUCACCCUUGUUGCUUACAUGUUUUUAGGUAAACCAUGAAGAAAACAUGCAUGAGAGUCGUGGGGUAGCAGUAUCACCAUCUUCACUACAGGAAUAUCUCAUAUGUUAACUUCUGGCACCGUGUUUUGAGAGCUUGUAUGGCUUAUACCUUACUUCACAUGGUGGAUUGUCUUGGAAUUCGAGAUUUACGCUUUCGUUCUGUAUGGCUUAACUAAUUUCCACUAAGACGUACAUGAUCGCCUAGAGUUUUGAAGUGGCACUUGGUUAAUGUUGGUAUUGUAGCUUUGCGCUUUAUGCUUGUGUUUGGUUCCUUUUCAUACAUAAUCAUAUGAUUUGUGUGUCAUGGAUGUCCUUAGAUACAGAGAAAGC